Molecule: ribosomal RNA, 1116 nt
Filed under: uncultured bacterium
Lineage: Bacteria
Description: bacterial SSU rRNA
Rfam family: Bacterial small subunit ribosomal RNA
Source: RNAcentral
CAUGCCGGGUGUAUGAAGAAGGCCUUCGGGUUGUAAAGUACUUUCAGCAGUGAGGAAGGUGGGUAUGUUAAUAGCAUAUUCAUUUGACGUUAGCUGCAGAAGAAGCACCGGCUAACUCCGUGCCAGCAGCCGCGGUAAUACGGAGGGUGCGAGCGUUAAUCGGAAUUACUGGGCGUAAAGCGCAUGCAGGUGGUUUGUUAAGUCAGAUGUGAAAGCCCGGGGCUCAACCUCGGAAUUGCAUUUGAAACUGGCAAACUAGAGUACUGUAGAGGGGGGUAGAAUUUCAGGUGUAGCGGUGAAAUGCGUAGAGAUCUGAAGGAAUACCGGUGGCGAAGGCGGCCCCCUGGACAGAUACUGACACUCAGAUGCGAAAGCGUGGGGAGCAAACAGGAUUAGAUACCCUGGUAGUCCACGCCGUAAACGAUGUCUACUUGGAGGUUGUGGCCUUGAGCCGUGGCUUUCGGAGCUAACGCGUUAAGUAGACCGCCUGGGGAGUACGGUCGCAAGAUUAAAACUCAAAUGAAUUGACGGGGGCCCGCACAAGCGGUGGAGCAUGUGGUUUAAUUCGAUGCAACGCGAAGAACCUUACCUACUCUUGACAUCUACAGAAGCCAGCGGAGACGCAGGUGUGCCUUCGGGAACUGUAAGACAGGUGCUGCAUGGCUGUCGUCAGCUCGUGUUGUGAAAUGUUGGGUUAAGUCCCGCAACGAGCGCAACCCUUAUCCUUGUUUGCCAGCACUUCGGGUGGGAACUCCAGGGAGACUGCCGGUGAUAAACCGGAGGAAGGUGGGGACGACGUCAAGUCAUCAUGGCCCUUACGAGUAGGGCUACACACGUGCUACAAUGGCGCAUACAGAGGGCGGCCAACUUGCGAAAGUGAGCGAAUCCCAAAAAGUGCGUCGUAGUCCGGAUUGGAGUCUGCAACUCGACUCCAUGAAGUCGGAAUCGCUAGUAAUCGUGGAUCAGAAUGCCACGGUGAAUACGUUCCCGGGCCUUGUACACACCGCCCGUCACACCAUGGGAGUGGGCUGCAAAAGAAGUGGGUAGUUUAACCUUCGGGAGGACGCUCACCACUUUGUGGUUCAUGACUGGGGUGAAGUCGUAACAAGGUAACCG